RNAcentral lists this ribosomal RNA (441 nucleotides) under uncultured bacterium. RNAcentral describes it as "SSU rRNA". It matches the Rfam family "Bacterial small subunit ribosomal RNA", at positions 26 to 518 of the family's 1533-position model. The record is from RNAcentral.
AGAACGAACGCUGGCGGCAGGCUUAACACAUGCAAGUCGAGCGCCCCGCAAGGGGAGCGGCAGACGGGUGAGUAACGCGUGGGAACAUACCCUCCGGUUCGGAAUAGCUCAGGGAAACUUGGAUUAAUACCGGAUACGGCCUAGCGGCGAAAGAUUCAUCGCCGGAGGAUUGGCCCGCGUCUGAUUAGCUAGUUGGUGGGGUAAUGGCCCACCAAGGCGACGAUCAGUAGCUGGUCUGAGAGGAUGAUCAGCCACAUUGGGACUGAGACACGGCCCAAACUCCUACGGGAGGCAGCAGUGGGGAAUAUGGACAAUGGGCGCAAGCCUGAUCCAGCCAUGCCGCGUGAGUGAUGACGGCCUUAGGGUUGUAAAGCUCUUUCGCUAGGGACGAUAAUGACGGUACCUAGACAAGAAGCCCGGCUAACUCGUGCCAGCAGCCGC